AUUGAACGCUGGCGGCAGGCCUAACACAUGCAAGUCGAACGGUAGCACAGAGAGCUUGCUCUCGGGUGACGAGUGGCGGACGGGUGAGUAAUGUCUGGGAAACUGCCCGAUGGAGGGGGAUAACUACUGGAAACGGUAGCUAAUACCGCAUAACGUCGCAAGACCAAAGUGGGGGACCUUCGGGCCCCACACCAUCGGAUGUGCCCAGAGGGGAUUAGCUAGUAGGUGGGGUAAUGGCUCACCUAGGCGACGAUCCCUAGCUGGUCUGAGAGGAUGACCAGCCACACUGGAACCGAGACACGGUCCAGACUCCUACGGGAGGCAGCAGUGGGGAAUAUUGUACAAUGGGCGCAAGCCUGAUGCAGCCAUGCCGCGUGUAUGAAGAAGGCCUUCGGGUUGUAAAGUACUUUCAGCGGGGAGGAAGGCGGUGGAGUUAAUAACUUCACCGAUUGACGUUACCCGCAGAAGAAGCACCGGCUAACUCCGUGCCAGCCGCCGCCGUAA
Molecule: ribosomal RNA, 504 nt
Filed under: uncultured bacterium
Lineage: Bacteria
Description: partial 16S ribosomal RNA
Rfam family: Bacterial small subunit ribosomal RNA
Source: RNAcentral